AUUCUUACCUGGCAGGAGAGACACCAUGAUCACAAAGGUGGUUUUCCCAGGGCGAGGCUUAUCCAUUGCACGCUGGAUGUCCUGACCUUGCGAUUUCCCCAAAUGCAGGAAACCCGACUGAUAAUGUGUGGUAGCAGGGGACUGCCUUCACACUCUCGCCUC
This is a small nuclear RNA of Myodes glareolus (Bank vole), 162 nucleotides long. RefSeq annotates it as U1 spliceosomal RNA. The record is from RefSeq and is a predicted model, not a curated record. NCBI's taxonomy places the organism in Eukaryota, Metazoa, Chordata, Mammalia, Rodentia, Cricetidae.